GUGCGCGCUUCGGCAGCACAUAGACUAAAAUUGGAAGGAUACAGAGGAGAUUUGCAUGGUCCCUGGCAAGGAUGACA
Molecule: small nuclear RNA, 77 nt
Organism: Lynx canadensis (Canada lynx)
Lineage: Eukaryota; Metazoa; Chordata; Mammalia; Carnivora; Felidae
Source: Ensembl